ACCUUCCUUGUCUUGGGGAGCAGAAAUGUUCAAUGAACGUCUAGUGAGGACAUUGCUGCUGACACCAAUGAUGACACCCCCGCUCGCCGAUCGUUCGCGAUUGGAGUUCGGAAUUUUUGGACCA
This 124-nucleotide non-coding RNA is filed under the name Drosophila melanogaster (fruit fly). Its description in RNAcentral is "U4atac minor spliceosomal RNA". It matches the Rfam family "U4atac minor spliceosomal RNA". From Rfam's summary of the family: U4atac is an essential component of the minor U12-type spliceosome complex which is required for removal of the rarer class of eukaryotic introns (AT-AC, U12-type). The record is from Rfam by way of RNAcentral. Lineage: Eukaryota; Metazoa; Arthropoda; Insecta; Diptera; Drosophilidae.